CCUACGGGGGGCAGCAGUGAGGAAUAUUGGUCAAUGGACGAGAGUCUGAACCAGCCAAGUAGCGUGAAGGAUGACUGCCCUAUGGGUUGUAAACUUCUUUUAUAUGGGAAUAAAAUGUUCCACGUGUGGGAUUUUGUAUGUACCAUAUGAAUAAGGAUCGGCUCACUCCGUGCCAGCAGCCGCGGUAAUACGGAGGAUCCGAGCGUUAUCCGGAUUUAUUGGGUUUAAAGGGAGCGUAGGUGGAUUGUUAAGUCAGUUGUGAAAGUUUGCGGCUCAACCGUAAAAUUGCAGUUGAAACUGGCAGUCUUGAGUACAGUAGAGGUGGGCGGAAUUCGUGGUGUAGCGGUGAAAUGCUUAGAUAUCACGAAGAACUCCGAUUGCGAAGGCAGUUCACUGGACUGCAACUGACACUGAGGCACGAAAGUGUGGGUAUCAAACAGGAUUAGAUACCCCGGUAGUC
This 460-nucleotide ribosomal RNA is filed under the name uncultured bacterium. RNAcentral's name for it is "partial 16S ribosomal RNA". It matches the Rfam family "Bacterial small subunit ribosomal RNA", at positions 338 to 795 of the family's 1533-position model. The record is from RNAcentral.